This 497-nucleotide ribosomal RNA is filed under the name uncultured bacterium. RNAcentral's name for it is "partial 16S ribosomal RNA". It matches the Rfam family "Bacterial small subunit ribosomal RNA", at positions 28 to 507 of the family's 1533-position model. The record is from RNAcentral.
GAUGAACGCUGGCGGCGUGCCUAAUACAUGCAAGUCGAGCGAACGGACGAGAAGCUUGCUUUUCUGAUGUUAGCGGCGGACGGGUGAGUAACACGUGGAUAACCUACCUAUAAGACUGGGAUAACUUCGGGAAACCGGAGCUAAUACCGGAUAAUAUUUUGAACCGCAUGGUUCAAAAGUGAAAGACGGUCUUGCUGUCACUUAUAGAUGGAUCCGCGCUGCAUUAGCUAGUUGGUAAGGUAACGGCUUACCAAGGCAACGAUGCAUAGCCGACCUGAGAGGGUGAUCGGCCACACUGGAACUGAGACACGGUCCAGACUCCUACGGGAGGCAGCAGUAGGGAAUCUUCCGCAAUGGGCGGAAGACUGACGGAGCAACGCCGCGUGAGUGAUGAAGGUCUUCGGAUCGUAAAACUCUGUUAUUAGGGAAGAACAUAUUUGUAAGUAACUGUGCACAUCUUGACGGUACCUAAUCAGAAAGCCACGGCUAACUACGUG